Anneissia japonica is the source of this 195-nucleotide long non-coding RNA. RefSeq lists it as uncharacterized. The record is from RefSeq and is a predicted model, not a curated record. Lineage: Eukaryota; Metazoa; Echinodermata; Crinoidea; Comatulida; Comatulidae. The transcript is spliced from 3 exons.
CAACAAGGCAACAGGCAGUGCAGAUUAACAUCUUCACAGCUGUUCUUAGUGCACUAAAGGGUUUGGCAGAAAAUAAAAGACGUUUGAAAGAUGCUCGAGUCAGGGCAGCUGCUAAUAAUUUGAUAAUGAGUGCACUGACAAAUCAAAACCCAAUCCUGAGAUGUGCAGCUGGAGAGGCUCUAGGACGAAUGGAAC